CGCGGCCUAUCAGCUUGUUGGUGGGGUAAUGGCCCACCAAGGCGACGACGGGUAGCCGGCCUGAGAGGGCGAACGGCCACACUGGGACUGAGACACGGCCCAGACUCCUACGGGAGGCAGCAGUGGGGAAUAUUGCGCAAUGGGCGAAAGCCUGACGCAGCGACGCCGCGUGAGGGAUGAAGGCCUUCGGGUUGUAAACCUCUUUCAGCAGGGACGAAGCGAAAGUGACGGUACCUGCAGAAGAAGCACCGGCCAACUACGUGCCAGCAGCCGCGGUAAUACGUAGGGUGCAAGCGUUGUCCGGAAUUAUUGGGCGUAAAGAGCUCGUAGGCGGUUUGUCACGUCGGCUGUGAAAACUCGGGGCUCAACCCCGAGCCUGCAGUCGAUACAGGCAAACUAGAGUGUGGUAGGGGAGACUGGAAUUCCUGGUGUAGCGGUGAAAUGCGCAGAUAUCAGGAGGAACACCGGCGGCGAAGGCGGGUCUCUGGGCCAUAACUGACGCUGAGGAGCGAAAGCGUGGGGAGCGAACAGGAUUAGAUACCCUGGUAGUCCACGCCGUAAACGUUGGGCGCUAGGUGUCGGGGACCUUCCACGUCUUCGGUGCCGCAGCUAACGCAUUAAGCGCCCCGCCUGGGGA
Molecule: ribosomal RNA, 637 nt
Filed under: uncultured bacterium
Lineage: Bacteria
Description: bacterial SSU rRNA
Rfam family: Bacterial small subunit ribosomal RNA
Source: RNAcentral